CGUAGGUGGCAAGCGUUGUCCGGAUUUAUUGGGUUUAAAGGGUGCGUAGGCGGCCUUAUAAGUCAGUGCUGAAAUACUCUAGCUUAACUAGAGGGGUGGCAUUGAUACUGCAAGGCUUGAGUAUAGUCGAGGUAGGCGGAAUUGACGGUGUAGCGGUGAAAUGCUUAGAUAUCGUCAAGAACACCGAUAGUGUAGACAGCUUACUAGGCUAUAACUGACGCUGAGGCACGAAAGUGUGGGGAUCAAACAGGAUUAGAUACCCUGGUAGUCCACACUGUAAACGUUGAUUACUCGCUGUUGGCGAUACACAGUCAGCGGCUUAGCGCAAGCGAUAAGUAAUCCACCUGGGGAGUACGCCGGCAACGGUG
This 368-nucleotide ribosomal RNA is filed under the name uncultured organism. Its description in RNAcentral is "bacterial SSU rRNA". It matches the Rfam family "Bacterial small subunit ribosomal RNA", at positions 526 to 896 of the family's 1533-position model. The record is from RNAcentral.